Molecule: transfer RNA, 71 nt
Filed under: Chryseoglobus sp. 28M-23
Lineage: Bacteria; Bacillati; Actinomycetota; Actinomycetes; Micrococcales; Microbacteriaceae
Description: tRNA-Gly
Rfam family: tRNA
About the family: Transfer RNA (tRNA) molecules are approximately 80 nucleotides in length. Their secondary structure includes four short double-helical elements and three loops (D, anti-codon, and T loops).
Source: RNAcentral
GGGGCGUCGGUUUGGUGAGGAUUCAGUCUUCCAAACUGAUGGUGCGAGUUCGAUUCUCGUCAUCCCCUCCA